AGGGAUUUAAUGUAAUGGUAGCAUGACAGCCUCCAAAACUGUUAGUAAGGGUUCAAGUCCUUUAAUCCCUGCCA
This 74-nucleotide transfer RNA is filed under the name Bacillus cereus BAG2O-3. RNAcentral describes it as "tRNA-Trp". It matches the Rfam family "tRNA". Rfam says of the family: Transfer RNA (tRNA) molecules are approximately 80 nucleotides in length. Their secondary structure includes four short double-helical elements and three loops (D, anti-codon, and T loops). Further hydrogen bonds mediate the characteristic L-shaped molecular structure. tRNAs have two regions of fundamental functional importance: the anti-codon, which is responsible for specific mRNA codon recognition, and the 3' end, to which the tRNAs corresponding amino acid is attached (by aminoacyl-tRNA synthetases). tRNAs cope with the degeneracy of the genetic code in two manners: having more than one tRNA (with a specific anti-codon) for a particular amino acid; and 'wobble' base-pairing, i.e. permitting non-standard base-pairing at the 3rd anti-codon position. The record is from RNAcentral. Lineage: Bacteria; Bacillati; Bacillota; Bacilli; Caryophanales; Bacillaceae.